RNAcentral lists this ribosomal RNA (501 nucleotides) under Fusarium sp. 6-12m. RNAcentral describes it as "eukaryotic LSU rRNA". The stretch from base 131 to 284 matches the Rfam family "5.8S ribosomal RNA". The record is from RNAcentral. Lineage: Eukaryota; Fungi; Ascomycota; Sordariomycetes; Hypocreales; Nectriaceae.
AACCCCUGUGAACAUACCACUUGUUGCCUCGGCGGAUCAGCCCGCUCCCGGUAAAACGGGACGGCCCGCCAGAGGACCCCUAAACUCUGUUUCUAUAUGUAACUUCUGAGUAAAACCAUAAAUAAAUCAAAACUUUCAACAACGGAUCUCUUGGUUCUGGCAUCGAUGAAGAACGCACCAAAAUGCGAUAAGUAAUGUGAAUUGCAGAAUUCAGUGAAUCAUCGAAUCUUUGAACGCACAUUGCGCCCGCCAGUAUUCUGGCGGGCAUGCCUGUUCGAGCGUCAUUUCAACCCUCAAGCACAGCUUGGUGUUGGGACUCGCGUUAAUUCGCGUUCCCCAAAUUGAUUGGCGGUCACGUCGAGCUUCCAUAGCGUAGUAGUAAAACCCUCGUUACUGGUAAUCGUCGCGGCCACGCCGUUAAACCCCAACUUCUGAAUGUUGACCUCGGAUCAGGUAGGAAUACCCGCUGAACUUAAGCAUAUCAAUAAGCGGAGGAACCAG